This 113-nucleotide small nucleolar RNA is filed under the name Chaetura pelagica (chimney swift). Its description in RNAcentral is "Small nucleolar RNA U109". It matches the Rfam family "Small nucleolar RNA U109", at positions 22 to 134 of the family's 134-position model. The record is from Rfam by way of RNAcentral. Lineage: Eukaryota; Metazoa; Chordata; Aves; Apodiformes; Apodidae.
CAGCAGUGUUGAGGAGCACGAAUCACUACACAACAUGCUAGAGAAAACAAGGAGUUUUCAGGGCUGCCAGUCUUGCAGUGAAGGCUGAGUGGUAGUAUAGGUCUCCAACAUCC